Molecule: ribosomal RNA, 449 nt
Filed under: Gymnosporangium nidus-avis
Lineage: Eukaryota; Fungi; Basidiomycota; Pucciniomycetes; Pucciniales; Gymnosporangiaceae
Description: eukaryotic LSU rRNA
Rfam family: 5.8S ribosomal RNA (bases 2-121)
Source: RNAcentral
UGAUGAAGAACACAGUGAAAUGUGAUAAGUAAUGUGAAUCGCAGAAUUCAGUGAAUCAUCGAAUCUUUGAACGCACCUUGCACCUUUUGGUAUUCCAAAAGGUACACCUGUUUGAGUGUCAUGAAACCCUCUCCCCAUUUAACUUUUUCAUUAAAGUUUCUUGGUGGAUGUUGAGUGUUGCUGUGAUUAAUUUUUACAGCUCGCUUUAAAUACAUAAGCUCAUCUUAUAUAUCAUUUGAUUUGGAUUGACUUGAUGUGAUAUAUAUAUUUUCAUCAAGGAUUGUAGAAAUACACCCAGUCAUUUUCUGAUAAAGAGGGCUCCUAAACCCCAUUUCUAUGUGGUCACCCAUGUGGAAUAUUAUUUUUUUAAGACCUCAAAUCAGGUGGGAUUACCCGCUGAACUUAAGCAUAUCAAUAAGCGGAGGAAAAGAAACUAACAAGGAUUCCCC